AUUAAAACGGUUUUUUGAUGGUCAAAACUGUGAAGAAGUGAUAAAUGACGGCGGCCCCUAUGGUAUGAUGUCGUUAGUGAUAAGUGAAAGAAGAUGAGGGGGGGGGGGGGGGGAAAGGAAGACGUAGAUCAAUCACAAAGAGU
Caenorhabditis elegans is the source of this 143-nucleotide non-coding RNA. Lineage: Eukaryota; Metazoa; Nematoda; Chromadorea; Rhabditida; Rhabditidae. The record is from Ensembl.